This 300-nucleotide ribosomal RNA is filed under the name uncultured Lactobacillus sp. RNAcentral describes it as "bacterial SSU rRNA". It matches the Rfam family "Bacterial small subunit ribosomal RNA", at positions 496 to 795 of the family's 1533-position model. Lineage: Bacteria; Bacillati; Bacillota; Bacilli; Lactobacillales; Lactobacillaceae. The record is from RNAcentral.
UCUAACUCGGUGCCAGGGGCGGCGGUAGUACUGAGGGGCCGAGCGUUAAUCGGAAGUACUGGGCGUGAAGCGUGCGCAGGCGGUUUGUUAAGCGAGAUGUGAAAGCCCUGGGCUCAACCUAGGAAUAGCAUUUCGAACUGGCGAACUAGAGUCUUGUAGAGGGGGGUAGAAUUCCAGGUGUAGCGGUGAAAUGCGUAGAGAUCUGGAGGAAUACCGGUGGCGAAGGCGGCCCCCUGGACAAAGACUGACGCUCAUGCACGAAAGCGUGGGGAGCAAACAGGAUUAGAUACCCUUGUAGUC